ACACACGCGUGGCAUGCACACCUCAUGAGCAGAGCCUCUUUCUUCCCUUUUUAGAUGAAAACUGAAGGUGAGGCAGGCUGCAAGUGUGUGGAGUUUUCUCCUCAGGUGGUGAGCCAAGAACGGUGCCUCUCAACCCUAUAGUUCAAAACAGCAAACCCAGCAGUGUGUCAAUAGAGGUAGACGCAUUUUCUAGGUGAGAACAACUGGAAGGUUCUAUAGAUGGCACACAACAUCAGUCAGCAGGGAGCGAAGCAAGGGAUGAAGAUGCGAAACUGAAACAAGGCCACAGGCCUUGAAAAUGAAAGAGAUUCACUCAGAGGAGGAGACCUCAACCUCCAACCUUUUGAAACGUAAACAGUGGUAGAAGCCUACAUCUCUCCAUGAAGGAUGCAAACAAGUCUGUGCAAAUUUGAAGGCACAGAGUUUUUAAGGCCUCUGACCAACUGCAAAAGCCAAACAGGCCUCAGCUCUCCGCCUAGCCACAUGCUUCCCCUUCUCUGGCAGACUGCUCAUGAGGACUUGCCUUAAAGACAGCGAUGGCAUAGGGGUGUGGGAGGUUGUCAAGGAUGACUGAACGCUGCUGGCCACUGAAAGUGAUGCGCUCGAUACAGUCCAGUUGUGAGACAUCUGGAGACCAUAAGAGAGUUGGAUGCUUUCUAAUCAAAUACACACAGAGUUAUCGGACCACGACAAGCAAGCUAUGGCUUCAGAAGCCUCAGUCAACAGGUUUAUUCCCCCCCCCCCCCCCCNCCCCCCCCCCCGUGAUCACCAGAAGCAGAAACUUGGCCUUACGUUUUCACUUUCAUGAGCAUCUGUUGCAGCAGUGGACACAACGCUGACUCCCCGUAAGGAACACUUACCCUUCUUGGGGUACAAGGACUAGAGCCCUGGGUCGAUCAAGCACAGAGGAAUUGACGAUUGUCAGUCGGAAGUCACCAUCUGGAUUAGCUACCUGACAAAACAAAGGGGGUGGGGGAAUGAGAGGGAUCUAAGUUCCUUACAAAGCCCACAAAACCAAAGCCCUACACGGGCCCUGCCUAUGGCACACUCUCCACACCUGCCCUCUACUCUCGGGUCUCAUUCUAGAACCAUGGUGAGCCCGCCUUGAUUCCCAAUCAGAAGGUACUCAUCAUGUCCCUGGCUGAGAUAAUUCCCACAUGGGCUGAAGGAGCAGCUAGAGCUGUGUGCUCCCUGACGCCAACCCUGGAGCAUGACAACUUGCACAAAGGUGACUGUUGUGGUCCCUCAGAGUCCAAGAACUCUUCAGUGCUUGCACACAACCCACACACAGCUUCCUGCCUGUUCUAAGCCACCCCUAGACCACCUGUUAAUUCCCACGACAGUGCUGGUGCUAAGUAAUCGGUGAGUUGUUCGGGAAUGGAACAACAGGAAAAGAUGUCUGCGCACUC
Molecule: long non-coding RNA, 1409 nt
Filed under: Mus caroli (Ryukyu mouse)
Lineage: Eukaryota; Metazoa; Chordata; Mammalia; Rodentia; Muridae
Description: predicted gene 16214 (MGP_CAROLIEiJ_G0004184.1)
Source: RNAcentral